Molecule: ribosomal RNA, 460 nt
Filed under: uncultured bacterium
Lineage: Bacteria
Description: partial 16S ribosomal RNA
Rfam family: Bacterial small subunit ribosomal RNA
Source: RNAcentral
CCUACGGGAGGCUGCAGUGAGGAAUAUUGGUCAAUGGGCGUGAGCCUGAACCAGCCAAGUAGCGUGAAGGAUGACUGCCCUAUGGGUUGUAAACUUCUUUUAUAAGGGAAUAAUGUGCGCUACGUGUGGCGUUUUGUAUGUUCCCUAUGAAUAAGGAUCGGCUAAAUUCGUGCCAGCCGCCGCGGUUAUUAGGAGGAUCCGAGCGUUAUCCGGAUUUAUUUGGGUUAAAGGGAGCGUUGGGGGGUUGUUAAGGUAGGUGGGAAAGUUGGGGGGUCAACCGUAAAAUUGCAGUUGAAACUGGCAGUCUUGAGUACAGUAGAGGUAGGCGGAAUGCGUGGUGUAGCGGUGAAAUGCUUAGAUAUCACGAAGAACUCCGAUUGCGAAGGCAGCAUACUGGAGUGCAACUGACACUGAAGCUCGAAAGUGUGGGUAUCAAACAGGAUUAGAUACCCGAGUAGUC